UCCAGACUCCUACGGGAGGCAGCAGUGAGGAAUAUUGGUCAAUGGUCGGGAGACUGAACCAGCCAAGCCGCGUGAGGGAGGAAGGUACAGAGUAUCGUAAACCUCUUUUGUCAGGGAACAAAGGCGGGGACGUGUCCCCGGAUGAGUGUACCUGAAGAAAAAGCAUCGGCUAACUCCGUGCCAGCAGCCGCGGUAAUACGGAGGAUGCGAGCGUUAUCCGGAAUUAUUGGGUGUAAAGGGUGCGCAGGCGGCACGUAAAGUCCGGUGUGAAAGGCAGGGGCUCAACCUCGGGACCGCCGUUGAAACUGGCAGUCUUGAGUUGGAGAGAAGUAUGCGGAAUGCGCGGUGUAGCGGUGAAAUGCAUAGAUAUCGCGCAGAACUCCGAUUGCGAAGGCAGCAUGCCGGCUCCACACUGACGCUGAGGCACGAAAGCGUGGGUAUCGAACAGGAUUAGAUACCCCAGUA
Molecule: ribosomal RNA, 465 nt
Filed under: uncultured bacterium
Lineage: Bacteria
Description: bacterial SSU rRNA
Rfam family: Bacterial small subunit ribosomal RNA
Source: RNAcentral